RNAcentral lists this ribosomal RNA (446 nucleotides) under uncultured bacterium. RNAcentral's name for it is "partial 16S ribosomal RNA". It matches the Rfam family "Bacterial small subunit ribosomal RNA", at positions 338 to 795 of the family's 1533-position model. The record is from RNAcentral.
CCUACGGGAGGCAGCAGUCGAGAAUCAUUCACAAUGGGGGAAACCCUGAUGGUGCGACGCCGCGUGGGGGAAUGAAGGUCUUCGGAUUGUAAACCCCUGUCAUGUGGGAGCAAAUGAAAAAGAUAGUACCACAAGAGGAAGAGACGUCUAACUCUGUGCCAGCAGCCGCGGUAAUACAGAGGGCUCAAGCGUUGUUCGGAAUCACUGGGCGUAAAGCGUGCGUAGGCUGUUUCGUAAGUCGUGUGUGAAAGGCGCGGGCUCAACCCGCGGACGGCACAUGAUACUGCGAGACUAGAGUAAGGGAGGGGGAACCGGAAUUCUCGGUGUAGCAGUGAAAUGCGUAGAUAUCGAGAGGAACACUCGUGGCGAAGGCGGGUUCCUGGACAUUAACUGACGCUGAGGCACGAAGGCCAGGGGAGCGAAAGGGAUUAGAUACCCUAGUAGUC